AGUGAACGCUGGCGGUAGGCCUAACACAUGCAAGUCGAACGGCAGCACAGUAAGAGCUUGCUCUUACGGGUGGCGAGUGGCGGACGGGUGAGGAAUACAUCGGAAUCUACUUUUUCGUGGUGUAUAACGUAGGGAAACUUACGCUAAUACCGCAUACGACCUACGGGUGAAAGCAGGGGAUCUUCGGACCUUGCGCGAUUGAAUGAGCCGAUGUCGGAUUAGCUAGUUGGCGGGGUAAAGGCCCACCAAGGCGACGAUCCGUAGCUGGUCUGAGAGGAUGAUCAGCCACACUGGAACUGAGACACGGUCCAGGCACCUACGGGAGGCAGCAGUGGGGAAUAUUGGACAAAGGGCGCAAGCCUGAUCAAGACAUACCGCGUGGGUGAAGAAGGCAUUCGGGUUGUAAAGCCCUUUUGUUGGGAAAGAAAAGCAGCAGGUUAAUACCCCGCUGUUCUGACGGUACCCAAAGAAUAAGCACCGGCUAACUUCGUG
This 492-nucleotide ribosomal RNA is filed under the name uncultured bacterium. Its description in RNAcentral is "partial 16S ribosomal RNA". It matches the Rfam family "Bacterial small subunit ribosomal RNA", at positions 29 to 507 of the family's 1533-position model. The record is from RNAcentral.